This 500-nucleotide ribosomal RNA is filed under the name Schindleria sp. 1 TK-2007. RNAcentral's name for it is "partial 16S rRNA". It matches the Rfam family "Bacterial large subunit ribosomal RNA", at positions 1851 to 2574 of the family's 2925-position model. The record is from RNAcentral. Lineage: Eukaryota; Metazoa; Chordata; Actinopteri; Gobiiformes; Schindleriidae.
GGUCCUGCCUGCCCCGUGACACACGUUUAACGGCCGCGGUAUUUUGACCGUGCUAAGGUAGCGUAAUAACUUGUCUUUUAAAUGAAGACCUGUAUGAAUGGCACCACGAGGGUCAAGCUGUCUCCUUUUUCAAGUCAAUGAAACUGAUAUGUCCGUGCAGAAGCGGACUAAAAACCAUAAGACGAGAAGACCCUGUGGAGCUUAAAGACACCAGAGCAUACAUAACGAAUAAAAUUAUAGCACUGCCCACCUGUCUUUGGUUGGGGCGACCGCGGGGUACUAAAAAGCCCCCGCGCAGCAAGGAAUAAAAAGCUUAAAGGUUGAGUGACAGCCCGCCAUACAGAACAUCUGACUGCAAAGAUCCGGCAAUGCCGAUCAACGGAUAAAGUUACCCCAGGGAUAACAGCGCAAUCCUUUCCUAGAGUCCCUAUCGACGAAAGGGUUUACGACCUCGAUGUUGGAUCAGGACAUCCUAAUGGUGAAGCCGCUAUUAAGGGUUC